CAGCCUCGACUUGACGUUAGACAUGCAAAUGGCGGACAUGUUUCGCCGAUGAUACUCCUAUUGAAUGAGUUUCAGUAUAAAAACCUUUACAACAGAUAUUAACGAUAUAUUACAUCAAAUAUAAGAAGGUAUUAUUUGUAUUAUUCAAAAAUAGCAUGCACACUAUACACCAAACCUUGAAAAAAAUAAUAAACAUACAUUAUUCCCAAUUCUUACGAGUACAUAAUUUUUAAUAUCUGUCAUAAUCUGACAGAAAAAAACAGUAGAAGUAAAAUGUUCAUUCAUCAGUACUAUAUAACGAGUCAACUACCAUGGUUUUUUUCUGCUUUCAAUAUUUCAUGUUUGAUAAACAUACUGCUGGUUUCCGGUAUAUUUGUAUUUUGAUUAACCUGAUCAUGGUAUCGCUGAUAAAACGCCUACUUUCUACACUUCAAAUAGUUGGGUAAACGAAGCUAAUAGGAUAUACAACAACAAGACGGCAACCUAACAGUAAAGGCAGGGGGCAUUUGUCCAAAUCUGACAUCAAAACUACUGGAAUCUUGAGACAAUGCUAGAUCUACACUCAGCAUGCACAGUAUUUGUAUCGUGUUUUUCACCAUCUAAAUUGUAAGGGAUCAGUGUUUUCUCACUAAAGUAAUAUGCAGACCGGUAAAUCUGCCCACCUAAUCAUUAUGCUAAUGUUUUGAUAAAAAUAUAUUUCAGCUGUUAAUUCAAAAAUGCAUCAAAUUUUAAUUGUACAGUUCUUUAGCAUGUUUAGCAAUAGCAUUGUUAAGUCUCUAUGAUUUUUAAUAUUAUAAUUGUCUGUAUACACCUUAUCGCUAUUUGUCCGCCAUUACUGGAUAUCACACAGGUUCCCUUAAAAUUUUGACGUCAUAAAACAAAAUAUUUCACGCCACAAUGGAAAAGUGAUUGUUGUAUGCGUCAAAAGUUGAAGCGGCCAGGUCAGCCGGGAUUAGCGAUAAGGUGUAUUUGGAUCACGCCUCUAUUGUGCUCUUUCCAAUAAAAUAUUGAAUUGAAUUGAACUAUGAAAACUCAAUUUUACUUAUAAAUUCUCAAUUUCACAAUCAUUUCUUAAAUGGUUGUGAAAAUCAAUCAAACAAAUAGGUCAUCUGUGUUUUUAAUCCAAGUGCAUUAUUCAUCAUUGUUCAUGCGCAACGACUAAUCACAUAUAUAAUUUACAAGCAACAAAGUGAGGAAAUGUUGAAAAAAAAUAUAUACAUGUAUACAAAAAGCUUGUGUCAAACUUUUCCAUUGCAAUUUAUUCAAGAUACAGGCAUGACUAUGAUGCAGGGAACAUUCAGAAAAAAAAGAAACUAUUUUUGCUUUCCAUUGUUUCCCAAAUUACAUUUUCUUCCUUCGAUGUGGACGUCAUGAGGCCACAAUUAAAAAUAUUUCAGUUUGCCCAAACCCGACCCAUGAUGACUGGGUGUGGGUAGGUAGGUAGGCAAAUUCUUUUUUUUUUUUUUUUUUUUAUCAGAAUUUGCAUGAAAAUAUUGAAAUAUUUUAAAACACUAUAUCUUUUUUUUUCUUGGUAAACCUUUGUAGAGAGACAGCAAAAGCCAUGAAUUUAAAACCUUUAUAAAUAAAUUAGUUUACUAUAUGAUUUGUAUCCUGAGAUGUUUAUAACCCUGACAGUGGCUAACUGUGUGAAAGGGCUGUUGGAUUUGUGAAGUGAUUUUCAACAGUUCCAUCAACACGAUGUUUGUGUAAAAAAAAUAUUCAGUGAUUAUGUAAUGAUUAAAUUUGUUUGCAAGUUUUAAAUCCUAUUCUAUUAAAAUAGAUUAAAUGUCCUAAAAUAUUUAUAUGAAUUAUUAAAAAUGUAUCUACCAUCCUUAGUUUGUAUCUUUUUUAUGUUUUGAAAAAAAAUUAUAUUUUACAUUAUCACAGGUAACUAAUUUGGCUAUAAUAGAUCAAACAUUUCUGUAGAAUCUCCAAACAAAAAUGAUUUUGUUAUAAUUUUAUUUCUUAAAUAAUCAGUUUAAAUUUUUGAAAAUAAUCAUUAUUGAUCAAUAUAAUUGCAUAAAGUUAACGUUUCUGAAGACUUUAUUUUUAGUCAUGGUUUCUAGAGGCUUCCUCCAAAUUUGUAAAAAAAUCCAAACUGUGAACUGUGUACAUAGUGCUCAUAGUAAAUAUAUUGAUGGAUUAAUAUUUAUAUAUUGCGGUGGUGGAACUACUUUUUAUUGUUUUACUCCAUAUAACGGAGGUGUGCCUAUAUUGGCAGAAAUUCAUUGGAUACAGAUAUGGCGUCCAUAACAAUGUUUUUACUUUUGCACAUGUGAAAAAAUAUUUCUGACAAAAGUCAGAUUUCUCUUGUCAAAAGGAAUUUACAUUAUAUUGCAAUAAAUUAUUCAAAAGAUUACAUUCAGUUAGAUUAAUAUUUUUGAUUCUGUGAGCAAUUAGUUUUAUCAAAUUCUCCCAAACUGCAACGUACUGAUGCUAAUGAACUUGUUAAAUUUGAACUAUUUGAAUAAAGGGCAUCUAAUUUACAUGAUAAAGGAAGAUUAUAAUUAAAGAAACAAUUUAUCAAGAAUAAUUCCUUUUUAUUCAGUAAAAAAAAAAUCUUCGUUCAAGAUUGUUAAAUUCGCAACUUCCGGAUCCAUUUCCUGUCAGGAUAACAUUGAAAAUAUUCGAUUGCACAUGGUUUUGAACAAAUCUACCUGGAUAUUCUUAUCAGAUAUUCGAUAACACGAUGAAAUUAACAUUAAGCAUAUAAAGGGUUUGGUAGUACAAACAACUACAGGGUAAAAAACUGUGCCACUUCACAAUGUUUUUACUUCUUACGUUCGUUAAAUAAGAAAUAAAAAAAAACAGAGAACAUGAAUAUCGAUUACUGCCGUCUUUUAUCGCUUUCUUUUAAUCUUUUCACAGUUACUUUUCAAACGCAAAGACGACAAAAUUAAGUUUUGUACGAUGACGGAGCGGACCCAAUAUAAUCCGAAAAAAAAAAUUUUCCCAAAAAAAAAACGUCAAAAAAAGAAUUUUGGGCGGGUUUAUUUUGGGUCGGUCGCGUUUGGGAAAACAUACAAUCUUUUUAUUUUGGCCUGAUCAUCAUGUUUUUUUUUUACAUGUAAACCAGACAAAAAUAUAGAAUUAAAGGGGAGGAGUUACGGGAAUUGUCUGUAUUGGUUAAAAUGAAUUUUCCAUCACCCUGAUCACAUUGCCUGUAAAAGAUAAAUUUUGACAAACCAAUUCCAUGCAAUUUUGGCUUGUAACAUUUUGAAAACUUGGGACAGAUAUAUAUAAUUGUUAUACACAUGUGUACUGUGGAUGUGUAGGUCAACUGUUCAAACAGAAAAAAACAACUAAUUAUAUAUAAUCCAAGAUUGCUCUGACGUGUGAUGGCUUUAAGGAUAGUACUGACUGUGGUCAAGGAAUGUCAGAUUCCAUGCAUAUAAAAAAUAUUGAAAUUGUCAAAACAAACAGGACAGAAAUUGCAAUAUAUAAUAAUGUAGAUAUAAAUUCAUAACUCGUACAUGUACGUCAUCAUGGUCAUUCAAUUCAUAUUAAGUUUACUCUAUAAAACUUUAUUUACAUACUGUUACAAAUCUCCUGACGUACAACAGAAAGCUUUAUUUCUAUCAACUCCCCAUUUUUAGUGCAAUAUUUUCACCAGUAGUACCUAUAAUCCGGCCAAGGGAGGUAACAAUACUUUGACCAAGAUAUUGCAAACUUGUAUUAUUUCCUCAUAGUAAAUAUAAUCUGGCCAAGGGAGGUAACAAUACUUUGACCAAAAUAUUGCAAACUUGUAUUAUUUCCUCAUAGUAAAUAUAAUCUGGCCAAGGGAGGUAACAAUACUUUGACCAAGAUAUUGCAAACUUGUAUUAUUUCCUCAUAGUAAUAUAAUCCGCCAAGGGAGGUAACAAUCUUUGCCAAAUAUUGCAAACUUGUAACUUAGUAAUAUAAUCUGGCUCAAUUCCAGUAAGAAAGUAUUAUUUUCAUAGUAAAUAUAAUCUGGCCAAGGGAGGUAACAAUACUUUCCCAAGAUAUGCAAAAUUGUAUUAUUUCCUCAUAUAAAUAAAUUGGCAAGGAGUAACAUCUUUCACCCAAGAUAUUGAAAACUUGAUUUUAUCUCAUCUAAAUAUAAUCUGGCAAGGGAGGUAACAAUACUUUCACCAAGAUAUUGAAACUUGUAUUAUUCCUCAUAGUAAAUAUAAUCUGGCAGGGAGUAACAAUACUUUCACAGAUAUUGCAAACUUGUAUAUUCUCAUAGGAAUAUAAUCUGGCAAGGGAGGAACAAUACUUUCCAAAUAUUGAAAACUGUAAGUUUCCUCAUAGUAAAUAUAUCGGCCAGGGAGGUAAAAUAUUCACCAAGAUAUUGCAAACUUAUAUUAUUUCCUCAUAGUAAAUAUAAUCUGGCCAAGGGAGGUAACAAUACUUUGACCAAGAUAUUGCAAACUUGUAUUAUUUCCUCGUAGUAAAUAUAAUCUGGCCAAGGGAGAUAACAAUACUUUCACCAUGAUAUUGUAAACUUGUAUUAUUUCCUCAUAGUAAAUAUAAUCUGGCCAAGGGAGGUAACAAUACUUUGACCAAGUUAUUGCAAACUUGUAUUAUUUCCUAAUAGUAAAUAUAAUCUGACCAAGGGAGAUAAUAUAUAGGAAAGUAACUCUGUCACAGGCAAAAGAUAGACUGCUACAUGUACAAAUGUAUAGUUAUAUAUCAAAUAUAAAAUGUUUAUUUUAUGUAGGUUAAGAGGUCAUCAUGCCGGCUGUGAAAGGAGAUGGCAUGCGAGGAUUGGCUGUUUUUAUAUCAGACAUUAGGAAUUGUAAGUAU
RNAcentral lists this long non-coding RNA (4770 nucleotides) under Mytilus galloprovincialis (Mediterranean mussel). Lineage: Eukaryota; Metazoa; Mollusca; Bivalvia; Mytilida; Mytilidae. The record is from RNAcentral.